CAGACUUUACCGCCGGGUAAAGUUUCACACCAGCGUUCAGAUUUCAUACCAUUAGGCCAUUGAAGGUAUGAUAUUCUGGACUUUUUUUAUA
Molecule: non-coding RNA, 91 nt
Filed under: unclassified sequences
Source: RNAcentral